This 71-nucleotide transfer RNA is filed under the name Agrobacterium radiobacter. RNAcentral's name for it is "tRNA-Arg". Lineage: Bacteria; Pseudomonadati; Pseudomonadota; Alphaproteobacteria; Hyphomicrobiales; Rhizobiaceae. The record is from RNAcentral.
GCAACGGCAAAUAGUUUACGGCUGCAUUCCGAUUCCAAAGGUCACAGGUUCGAAUCCUGUCGGGUGCGCCA